RNAcentral lists this ribosomal RNA (492 nucleotides) under uncultured bacterium. RNAcentral describes it as "partial 16S ribosomal RNA". It matches the Rfam family "Bacterial small subunit ribosomal RNA", at positions 28 to 507 of the family's 1533-position model. The record is from RNAcentral.
GAUGAACGCUAGCUACAGGCUUAACACAUGCAAGUCGAGGGGAAACGACAUCGAAAGCUUGCUUUUGAUGGGCGUCGACCGGCGCACGGGUGAGUAACGCGUAUCCAACCUGCCCAUCACUUGGGAAUAACCUUGCGAAAGUAAGACUAAUACCCAAUGAUAUCCCACGAAGGCAUCGGAAUGGGAUUAAAGAUUUAUCGGUGAUGGAUGGGGAUGCGUCUGAUUAGCUUGUUGGCGGGGUAACGGCCCACCAAGGCAACGAUCAGUAGGGGUUCUGAGAGGAAGGUCCCCCACAUUGGAACUGAGACACGGUCCAAACUCCUACGGGAGGCAGCAGUGAGGAAUAUUGGUCAAUGGGCGAGAGCCUGAACCAGCCAAGUAGCGUGCAGGAAGACGGCCCUAUGGGUUGUAAACUGCUUUUAUAAGGGAAUAAAGUGGGUCACGUGUGACUCUUUGCAUGUACCUUAUGAAUAAGGACCGGCUAAUUCCGUG